RNAcentral lists this ribosomal RNA (289 nucleotides) under Blastocystis hominis. RNAcentral's name for it is "partial 18S ribosomal RNA". It matches the Rfam family "Eukaryotic small subunit ribosomal RNA", at positions 42 to 348 of the family's 1831-position model. Lineage: Eukaryota; Bigyra; Opalinata; Blastocystidae. The record is from RNAcentral.
GAUUAAGCCAUGCAUGUGUAAGUGUAAAUAUAAAAGUUUGGAACUGCGAAUGGCUCAUUAUAUCAGUUAUAGUUUAUUUGGUGAAGUGUACUACUUGGAUAACCGUAGUAAUUCUAGGGCUAAUACAUGAGAAAGUCCUCUGGUGAGGUGUGUUUAUUAGAAUGAAAACCAUAUGCUUCGGCAUGAUAGUGAGUAAUAGUAACCUAUCGUAUCGCAUGCUUAAUGUAGCGAUGAGUCUUUCAAGUUUCUGCCCUAUCAGCUUUCGAUGGUAGUAUAUGGGCCUACCAUG